AGGAAUAGGGUGAUCAACCCUCCUUGGCUGCCUGGAACUUCCAUGGUUUUAGCACUGCAAGUCCUGCACCUUGGAAUCCCUCAGUGGUAUUAGAUUUGGAUUCUAAUCCUGAUUCUAUUGCUGAUUCACUGUGAAAACAGAUACGUCUAUUCUGAGCAUAGUUCCCUCAUCUACAGAAUGAGGGGAAAGGGCUUCUUUAUAUUCUCCCAAGGUUGAAGGAGCUCUCAUCAGUCAUUGACUGAUUGACAGGUGCUGGGAUGAGGAUAGGAAUGAAUAAGCAUCAAUAGCGCCAAUGCCCUGGCAACUCCUGCCAUGGGAGUGGUGAGAUAAAGACUUCAGGCCACAGACAGCGGGUGCCUCAGUUAGAAGUCAGCAUGGGUGCAGUAAAGGGGUUGAAGGGAAGGUAGAGCCAGUGGUGUCUGCUGUAGUCCUGUGCUCUUUUGUCCUCUGCCAUUCUGAUUCCUUUGAAUCAAGUUCUACAAGUCUGAGUCCUGUCCCACAAAUAUCUGCCUCAUAAAAACGUGCAGAUAUUUUUCUAGGGUAUUGUAUUAGAUUGCUAGGAUUGCCAUAACAAAAUAUUGCAGGCCGGUGGGCUUGAAAAACAAAAAUUUAUUUUCUCAUAGUCCUAGAGGCUAGAAGUCUGAGGCAAGGUUGGUUUCUUCUGAGGCCUCUCUCCUCGGUUUGUAGGUGAUCAUUUUCUCUUUUGUCUUCAUAUGGUCUUCCCUCUGUGUGUGCCUGUCCUAAUCUUCUAAUCUUAUAAGAACACUGGUCAUAUUGAAUUAUGACCCAUCCAAAUGACCUUAUUUUACCUUACUUACCUCUUGAAAGACACUAUUUACAAAUACAGUCAGUCACAUUCUCAGGUAUUGGGGGUUAGGACUUCAACAUAUGAAUUUGAAUUUGGCGGGGACACAGUUCAGUCCUUGACAGGUAUAUAUUUAAAAAUGGAAUUGUUUGGCCAAAGAAUAUACACAUUUUAAAUUUGAAUAAGUU
This 993-nucleotide long non-coding RNA is filed under the name Homo sapiens (human). RNAcentral's name for it is "non-protein coding lnc-SLC25A32-8:1". The record is from RNAcentral. Lineage: Eukaryota; Metazoa; Chordata; Mammalia; Primates; Hominidae.